GGUUUCCUACGGGGCGCAGCAGUGAGGAAUAUUGGUCAAUGGGCGGUAGCCUGAACCAGCCAAGUAGCGUGAAGGAUGAAGGUUCUAUGGAUUGUAAACUUCUUUUAUAAAGGAAUAAAGUGAGGCACGUGUGCCUUUUUGUAUGUACUUUAUGAAUAAGGAUCGGCUAACUCCGUGCCAGCAGCCGCGGUAAUACGGAGGAUCCGAGCGUUAUCCGGAUUUAUUGGGUUUAAAGGGAGCGUAGAUGGGCUUUUAAGUCAGCGGUAAAAAUUCGGGGCUCAACCCCGUCCGGUCGUUGAAACUGG
RNAcentral lists this ribosomal RNA (305 nucleotides) under uncultured bacterium. RNAcentral describes it as "bacterial SSU rRNA". It matches the Rfam family "Bacterial small subunit ribosomal RNA", at positions 333 to 636 of the family's 1533-position model. The record is from RNAcentral.